RNAcentral lists this long non-coding RNA (358 nucleotides) under Mytilus galloprovincialis (Mediterranean mussel). Lineage: Eukaryota; Metazoa; Mollusca; Bivalvia; Mytilida; Mytilidae. The record is from RNAcentral.
CAUUGUUGUUGCUAACUGAAUUGACAGGGGUUCAAUAUUUCACAUGUAUUUAGGUCGAAACUUGGUAACCUUUAAAUGUCGAGACAGAUAGUUGUCCUUGUUGAAGUUCUUUUUGUCUUUAUAUAUAUAUGGUAUUGUAAGGUUUCUGUUUAUAUGAAUGGUAUCCCUUAUAUCGUUAUAUUCAAUCAUUUACCCCUUUGUCAAAUGCAUACACCAUCUAUCAACUUAGGAUAUUAGACAAUAAAUGUUUUCAAAAAAAUGUUACAGUGAAGGACAUACAUUUAUGAAAUGACGGAAUUGUUUCUGCACCUGAUAGAUUUAAUGUUUUUUUAGUAAUACCAAUGUCUGUCUUAUUUUG